This 459-nucleotide ribosomal RNA is filed under the name uncultured bacterium. Its description in RNAcentral is "partial 16S ribosomal RNA". It matches the Rfam family "Bacterial small subunit ribosomal RNA", at positions 338 to 795 of the family's 1533-position model. The record is from RNAcentral.
CCUACGGGAGGCAGCAGUGAGGAAUAUUGGUCAAUGGGCGCGAGCCUGAACCAGCCAAGUAGCGUGAAGGAUGACUGCCCUACGGGUUGUAAACUUCUUUUAUAAAGGAAUAAAGUGAGGCACGUGUGCCUUUUUGUAUGUACUUUAUGAAUAAGGAUCGGCUAACUCCGUGCCAGCAGCCGCGGUAAUACGGAGGAUCCGAGCGUUAUCCGGAUUUAUUGGGUUUAAAGGGAGCGUAGAGGGGUUGUUAAGUCAGUGGUAAAAUGUCGGGGCUCAACCCGGGCCGGCCGUUGAAACUGGGGGUCUUGAGUGGGAGAGAAGUAUGCGGAAUGCGUGGUGUAGCGGUGAAAUGCAUAGAUAUCGCGCAGAACUCCGAUUGCGAAGGCAGCAUACCGGCGCCAGACUGACGCUGAGGCACGAAAGCGUGGGGAUCGAACAGGAUUAGAUACCCCAGUAGUC